GCAUUGGUGGUUCAGUGGUAGAAUUCUUGCCUGCCAAGCAAGAGGCCUGGGUUUGUUUCCUGACCAAUGCA
Protopterus annectens (West African lungfish) is the source of this 71-nucleotide non-coding RNA. Lineage: Eukaryota; Metazoa; Chordata; Ceratodontiformes; Protopteridae. The record is from the annotation of a RefSeq genome assembly.